Non-coding RNA from Rattus norvegicus (Norway rat), 69 nucleotides. The record is from Rfam. NCBI's taxonomy places the organism in Eukaryota, Metazoa, Chordata, Mammalia, Rodentia, Muridae.
GGGGACUUAGCUCAGUGGUAGAGCGCUUGCCUAGGAAGCGCAAGACCCUGGGUUUGCUCCCCAGCUCCG